AUACUUACCUGGUUGGAGCCUCUCCUGAUCAAGAAGGGGGGAGGCUCUGGGAAGGAUGUCUGCAUUGCACAGCGCGGAUGUCCAACCCAGUGAAUGUCCUUCGGGACAUCUCAACAGCUUAAUUUUUAUAUACGGGUCAUGUUUCGUUCGCGAGGCAUGGCCCU
Lobosporangium transversale is the source of this 164-nucleotide small nuclear RNA. It matches the Rfam family "U1 spliceosomal RNA". Rfam says of the family: U1 is a small nuclear RNA (snRNA) component of the spliceosome (involved in pre-mRNA splicing). Lineage: Eukaryota; Fungi; Mortierellomycota; Mortierellomycetes; Mortierellales; Mortierellaceae. The record is from Rfam.